Molecule: long non-coding RNA, 487 nt
Organism: Nilaparvata lugens (brown planthopper)
Lineage: Eukaryota; Metazoa; Arthropoda; Insecta; Hemiptera; Delphacidae
Exons: 2
Source: RefSeq, a predicted model, not a curated record
AGGCUUCAGAAAUAACAAGAGUAAUUAAGGAAAAUUCCUAGUAUAGUUUAAAUGGCCAGAUUCAUUUCAACAAAUACAACACUACAAAUUUAGUUUUAUCAUAGAAUUGUAAGCAUGCAUUAGUCAAUGGUUUUUCCAUUUAAAUAUUUGUUUUAUUAUCUAUGACACUUGGACAGGUGUUUUACUUAAAACGAUUCUUCGAAGUUAGGCGAGUUGUAUGAGGUUAAAAACGCUCUUCCGUCUAAAGUGUGUGGGUCAUAAUUUUUUGUGUUCAUUUCAACAUUAUUAUGUGAUACGGUAGACCUGAAGGCGUGUGUGUAAUGAUUUAAAUUAACUAUUCGAAAAUUAUUGUUGAACUAUCAUAGUGAAAAAGCUUAGAACUUUCAAUCUAAAAUUCAUCAAGGACUGAUACAUUUCAAUUAAAUAUUCAUUUUAUAGUAUUGUAAAGUUUGUUUCCAAGUUUAAUUAAAUGACUUUUAUAAAAAAA